AUUGAGAGACAGGGGCGUUCGUCGCGAGGCGGACUGAGAAGUACCCUUUGAACCUGAACCAGAUAAUGCUGGCGGAGGGAGUCGCUUGGGGUCUUCG
Molecule: non-coding RNA, 97 nt
Filed under: Rhizobium sp.
Lineage: Bacteria; Pseudomonadati; Pseudomonadota; Alphaproteobacteria; Hyphomicrobiales; Rhizobiaceae
Also listed under: 1 other name
Description: TPP sequence
Rfam family: TPP riboswitch aptamer (THI element)
About the family: Vitamin B(1) in its active form thiamin pyrophosphate (TPP) is an essential coenzyme that is synthesised by coupling of pyrimidine and thiazole moieties in bacteria.
Source: RNAcentral